GACGAACGCUGGCGGCGUGCCUAAUACAUGCAAGUAGAACGCUGAAGGAGGAGCUUGCUUCUCUGGAUGAGUUGCGAACGGGUGAGUAACGCGUAGGUAACCUGCCUGGUAGCGGGGGAUAACUAUUGGAAACGAUAGCUAAUACCGCAUAAUAGUAGAUGUUGCAUGACAUUUGCUUAAAAGGUGCAAUUGCAUCACUACCAGAUGGACCUGCGUUGUAUUAGCUAGGUGGUGGGGUAACGGCUCACCAAGGCGACGAUACAUAGCCGACCUGAGAGGGUGAUCUGCCACACUGGGACUGGGACACGGCCCAGACUCCUACGGGAGGCAGCAGUAGGGAAUCUCCGGCAAUGGCCGGAAUGCUGACCGAGCAACGCCGCGUGAGUGAAGAAUGUUUUCGGAUCGUAAAGCUCUGUUGUAAGAGAAGAACGAGUGUGAGAGUGGAAAGUUCACACUGUGACGGUAUCUUACCAGAAAGGUACGGCUAACUACGUG
Molecule: ribosomal RNA, 495 nt
Filed under: uncultured bacterium
Lineage: Bacteria
Description: partial 16S ribosomal RNA
Rfam family: Bacterial small subunit ribosomal RNA
Source: RNAcentral